Molecule: ribosomal RNA, 497 nt
Filed under: uncultured bacterium
Lineage: Bacteria
Description: partial 16S ribosomal RNA
Rfam family: Bacterial small subunit ribosomal RNA
Source: RNAcentral
GAUGAACGCUGGCGGCGUGCCUAAUACGUGCAAGUCGAGCGAACAGACGAGGAGCUUGCUCCUCUGACGUUAGCGGCGGACGGGUGAGUAACACGUGGAUAACCUACCUAUAAGACUGGGAUAACUUCGGGAAACCGGAGCUAAUACCGGAUAAUAUAUUGAACCGCAUGGUUCAAUAGUGAAAGACGGUUUUGCUGUCACUUAUAGAUGGAUCCGCGCCGCAUUAGCUAGUUGGUAAGGUAACGGCUUACCAAGGCAACGAUGCGUAGCCGACCUGAGAGGGUGAUCGGCCACACUGGAACUGAGACACGGUCCUGACUCCUACGGGAGGCAGCAGUAGGGAAUCUUCCGCAAUGGGCGAAAGCCUGACGGAGCAACGCCGCGUGAGUGAUGAAGGUCUUCGGAUCGUAAAACUCUGUUAUUAGGGAAGAACAAAUGUGUAAGUAACUAUGCACGUCUUGACGGUACCUAAUCAGAAAGCCACGGCUAACUACGUG